UGAGGAUUUGAUCCUGGUCCAGGACGAACGCUAGCGGCGUGCUUUAAGCAUGCAAGUGGAACGGUCCGUCGCAAGACGGAAAGUCGCGAACGGCUGAGUAACACGUAGGAACCUACCCUUUGGUGUGGAAUACCUCCGAGAAAUCGGAGCUAAUACCGCAUGACCCACGUUCAGUUACAUGAACGUGGAAAAGGAUAUAACUAUUCACCGAAGGAGGGGCCUGCGGCCUAUCAGCUAGUUGGUGGGGUAACGGCCUACCAAGGCUACGACGGGUAGGGGACGUGAGAGCGUGAACCCCCAGAAUGGCACUGAGACACGGGCCAUACACCUACGGGUGGCAGCAACUGGGAAUCGUGCGCAAUGGACGAAAGUCUGACGCCGCGACGCCGCGUGAGGGAUGACAGCCUUCGGGUUGUAAACCUCUUUUAUUUAGUCCGAGAGGACUUUUUGAAUAAGCACCGGCUAACUCCGUGCCAGCAGCAGCGGUAAUACGGAGGGUGCAAGCGUUGUCCGAAUUUAUUGGGCGUAAAGAGUUCGUAGGCGCCCCGCCGCAUCUUAUUUCAAAUACCAGAGCUUAACUUUGGAAAGGGAUAAGAGAUGGGCGGGGUUGAAGAGCGUGGGGGCUACUGGAACUUACGGUGUAGGAGUGAAAUCCGUUGAUAUCGUAAGGAACACCGAGGGCGAAGGCAAGUAGCUAGGCGCUAUUUGACGCUGAGGAACGAAAGCUAGGGGAGCGAAAGGGAUUAGAGACCCCUGUAGUCCUAGCCGUAAACGAUGCUCGCUAGGGAUCCGCCCUACAAAGAACAGGUUCUUUACGUGUUUUUUGUAGGGUAGGUCCCGUAAGCUAACGCGUUAAGCGAGCCGCCUGGGGAGUACGAGCGCAAGCUUAAAACUCAAAGGAAUUGACGGGGACCCGCACAACCAGUGGAGCAUGUGGUUUAAUUCGAGACGAACCGAAGAACCUUACCUGGACUUGACAUCUUGCCGUUUUAUUCUGAUAGAAAUAUCGGGAGAUCCUUCGAAAGUUGGAUGGUAGGACAGGUGUUGCAUGGCUAUCGUCAGCUCGUGUCGUGGGAUGUUCCCUUCAGUGGGGUAACGAGCGCAACCCUCGCCGUAUGUUAAAUUGUUCAUACGGGACUGGUCGCCUUUGGCGACAGGAAGUGGGGACGACGUUAAGUCAGCAUGGCCCUUAUGUCCAGGGCAACACACAUGCUACAAUGAAGCCGACAAUGGGUUGCCAAGUGGUAACACGGAGCUAAUCCCAUCAAACGGCUUCUCAGUGGGGAUUGGGGGCUGCAACUCGCCCUCAUGAACGCGGAAUUGGUAGUAAUCGCGAAUCAGCUAAGUCGCGGUGAAUACGUUCUCGGGUCUUGUACACACCGCCUAUAGUAAUUAUAUUUAGGAACAACGCGCCUAGCAGUUGUAUCCUCUAGUAGAUUAAAAUUCUACCUCCGAUUUAAUCGGAGUAGCCAAAAAAAUUUGACAGUCCUUAUUGGGCAACUGAUAAGGAUGGAGGGUCUGAGGCAAAUGGCAGGGAUAGUAAGUAAGGAUGCAAGCGACUUUCGCCGGGCGGUCGGAAGGAAGUUGCUGUAAAAAGUCCACUAUUCAUGCCGGGAAAAGAGGAUAUGAUAACCUAGGGAGAUCCUUAUAAGAUUGAGGUUAAGGCUUAUAGGGAAGUCAGCUUCUUCAUAUUAGGUAAUUGAGCAAGUCUGACUUGCUUGACAUUUUCGGGUUAUAUUUGUAAUCUGAAAUUAUUAUUACUGAAGGGAGAAACGUAAGUGUUAGUAACGCCUGAUUACAUUGUAGGACUCACAGAAGGUGAAGGUUGUUUUCUUGUUAGUUUGAGAAAGGAUAAUCGGAUUGAAUUUCGGUUUUUCAUAGCACAAGCAAUAGGGAAUAAACCUCUUCUUGAAGAAAUAAAAAAGUUUUUUGUAGUAGGAAGUGUCUACCAAAAAUCGAACGUAAAAGGGAAAUUGCCAGCAUAUGUAUUUGAAAUUUCAAAAAGGGAUGACAUUUACAAAGUGUUAAUUCCCUUUUUUCAAAGAUAUAAACUUAAGGGGAUUAAGGCAAGAUCCUUUUCAGUAUUUGAGGAAAUCGCAAGAUUGGUUAAAGGUAGACAAGACAAGAGAAAACUGACUAAGGAAGAACUUGAUUAUAUUACAUAUUUAAGAUCAGGGAUGAAUAAACAUUACGGCUCGCCCGGUGCGGGAAAGCCGCUCGCCGGGUGGGAACGCGCAAUAACCUCAAUGAAGCGCAAUCCGUCAAGUUAGUGAAGUUGGUAGCACCCGAAUCCCGAUAGUAUCGGGGCAAGGUGAGACCAGCGACAAGAAUUAAGUCGUAAAUGCAUUCUGCAUUUGUUGCGACCUAGGAAAGUAAUUUCCUUGUAAAAUCCAGCUGUAUCGGUGAAGCCUUUACAACUUAGGAGUAAAGGAAUAAAGAACUGGAGAGAAUAGUGAUUAUUCUCUAAAUUCUUUUAAUCUUAUAUUCUUAAUGUUGAUGGUAAUACCGAGGGAACCCUUCGACAAAGCUCAGGGCCAUAGCCACGAGCGAAGUCGAGUGGGACUCCGUAGAGACUACACGCUGGCUCCGCAAAUUUCGAAAGCAUAUUUAUUUGGUCUUUUGCACGAUGCCACAGUAAGAAGAACGACCUACCGUAUAGCUACCAAGAGCGAAUUAUUCGCUGGUAUUAUUCAACAGGGAAUAAAGGAUCUUGGUAGAAAAGCUUGGAUAUAUAAAGAAGGAAAAAAUCGUAAUCUUUGGAUUAUUGAAUUUUCCAAAGAUCUGUUAAGAAGUUUUAGAAUUAAAACAAGAAAAGAUAAGCUUGAUUUUAUACGGGGGUUUUUCGACGCUGAAGGCGGAAUGGCAAAGCAUUCUCAGGUUAGAUUUUACUUGUAUUUCUGUCAGAAGAAUAAAACAGUUCUUUUGAAGAUAAAGAAGUAUUUAGCCGAAUUGGGAAUUGAAAGUGGAGUAAUUCACAAUCCAAGUAAAAAAGUAGAUCCUGAUUAUUGGAGGUUUUUUAUCAGAGCGAAAUCAUAUAAAGACUUUGCUACGAUUAUUGACUCCAAUCAUCCGGAAAAACUUUCAAUAUUGCGGAUGAAGAUAUAGUCCAUGCCCCCGCGUACCAUUCGGUACACGGCGAUGAACCAAAUGGUUCGUUGUUCGAAAGACAGGGAAUAAACCCCGAAAAUUUCCGUUGGAAAUAACGGGGCGAGCAUGAACAAGGUAUCCGUUCUGGAAGGAGCGGAUGGAUCACCUCCUU
RNAcentral lists this ribosomal RNA (3259 nucleotides) under Candidatus Woesebacteria bacterium GW2011_GWA1_39_21b. Its description in RNAcentral is "bacterial SSU rRNA". The stretch from base 1 to 1448 matches the Rfam family "Bacterial small subunit ribosomal RNA". The record is from RNAcentral. Lineage: Bacteria; Candidatus Woeseibacteriota.